This 717-nucleotide long non-coding RNA is filed under the name Nicotiana benthamiana. Its description in RNAcentral is "long non-coding RNA (NBEN_LNC026696)". Lineage: Eukaryota; Viridiplantae; Streptophyta; Magnoliopsida; Solanales; Solanaceae. The record is from RNAcentral.
CCGCACUCUUGAACCAAAGACCUAAUCUUGCUAUCCACAAGAGUCUUCAGAGAUGAAGCAUGUUCAACUGGGGAUACACUAAGGAGGUAGUCACAAUCCUGCAAGGUUUUGACACCAAAAUGGUCCUUGUUGGAGUCCAUCUCCCAUUUCUUCAAUGGAACAUUCAUCCUAUCUAGCAGAGUCGUCAGCAUGAACCCAUAAGGAGUAGCAUGAGCCUUGGAGACAUUUAUGACUCGGUCUAGCAGCUUGACAAUGAAGGCAAGCCAGUUAAUCUACUUUCCUGUCACAAGGCAUUCCAGAAAAACCAAGUCCAUGUAGUUAGCAGUAUGCCUUCUUUCAUGUCUGGGUAGCAGACAUUUAUUCACAAAUUCAAAUAGCACCUUGUGCUAAGGCUUCAUCUCACUCUUCUGCACAAACCUUGUCUCUGGCACAUCUUCAGCAGACUCUGUAUCACAGAAGUUUCUGGUGAUUUGGAUAGCAUUAAGAAGAUCAUCUAGACAAGGCCACCUCUUCCUAGUGUAGUCAUCAUAACCUUCGCAUGGUAUGUCCAGAAGUGUGCCUAAUUUAGGUGCAUCAAGCUGCACCUUUACUCCCCUAACCACACUGGUGGCUACCCCAUUUUUCACAGUGGCUUUAGCCAUGACCUCGAUCAGCUCCUUUCUUGCCAGCCUUCCAUCCAAUUGAAGAACCAUGUCCUUUCAACCUUGUGCAUCUAGG